AACAAGGAUUCCCUUAGUAACGGCGAGUGAACCGGGAAAAGCUCAAAUUUGUAAUCUGGCUGUCUUCGAUAGUCCGAGUUGUAAUCUAUAGACGUGUUUUCCGUGCUGGACCGUAUCUAAGUCCCUUGGAACAGGGUAUCAAAGAGGGUGACAAUCCCGUGCUUGAUACGACCACCAGUGCUCUGUGAUACACGCUCUACGAGUCGAGUUGUUUGGGAAUGCAGCUCAAAAUGGGUGGUAAAUUCCAUCUAAAGCUAAAUAUUGGCGAGAGACCGAUAGCGAACAAGUACCGUGAGGGAAAGAUGAAAAGCACUUUGGAAAGAGAGUUAAACAGUACGUGAAAUUGUUGAAAGGGAAACGAUUGAAGUCAGUCGUGUUCUUUGGAUUCAGCUAGUUCUUCUAGUCUACUUCCUUUGAACGGGUCAACAUCAGUUUUGUCCGGUGGAUAAAGAUAGUAGGAAUGUAGCUCCCUCGGGAGUGUUAUAGACUAUUAUUGCAUGCACUGGGUGAGACUGAGGACUGCAGCUCGCCUUUUGGCCGGCCUUCGGGUACGUUCGAGCUUAGGAUGUUGA
This 572-nucleotide ribosomal RNA is filed under the name Trichosporon sp. RNAcentral's name for it is "LSU rRNA". It matches the Rfam family "Eukaryotic large subunit ribosomal RNA", at positions 67 to 629 of the family's 3401-position model. Lineage: Eukaryota; Fungi; Basidiomycota; Tremellomycetes; Trichosporonales; Trichosporonaceae. The record is from RNAcentral.